AACGAACGCUGGCGGCAUGCCUAACACAUGCCAGUCGAACGAGACCUUCGGGUCUAGUGGCGCACGGGUGCGUAACGCGUGGGAACCUGCCCUUAGGUUCGGAAUAACUCCCCGAAAGGGGUGCUAAUACCGGAUAAUGUCUUCGGACCAAAGAUUUAUCGCCUUUGGAUGGGCCCGCGUUGGAUUAGCUAGUUGGUAGGGUAAAAGCCUACCAAGGCGACGAUCCAUAGCUGGUCUGAGAGGAUGAUCAGCCACACUGGGACGGAGACACGGCCCAGACUCCUACGGGAGGCAGCAGUGGGGAAUAUUGGACAAUGGGCGAAAGCCUGAUCCAGCAAUGCCGCGUGAGUGAUGAAGGCCUUAGGGUUGUAAAGCUCUUUUACCCGGGAUGAUAAUGACAGUACCGGGAGAAUAAGCUCCGGCUAACUCCGUG
This 433-nucleotide ribosomal RNA is filed under the name uncultured bacterium. RNAcentral's name for it is "partial 16S ribosomal RNA". It matches the Rfam family "Bacterial small subunit ribosomal RNA", at positions 29 to 507 of the family's 1533-position model. The record is from RNAcentral.